Molecule: ribosomal RNA, 890 nt
Filed under: Salmonella enterica subsp. enterica serovar Enteritidis
Lineage: Bacteria; Pseudomonadati; Pseudomonadota; Gammaproteobacteria; Enterobacterales; Enterobacteriaceae
Description: partial 23S ribosomal RNA
Rfam family: Bacterial large subunit ribosomal RNA
Source: RNAcentral
AGACCCGAAACCCGGUGAUCUAGCCAUGGGCAGGUUGAAGGUUGGGUAACACUAACUGGAGGACCGAACCGACUAAUGUUGAAAAAUUAGCGGAUGACCUGUGGCUGGGGGUGAAAGGCCAAUCAAACCGGGAGAUAGCUGGUUCUCCCCGAAAGCUAUUUAGGUAGCGCCUCGUGAAUUCAUCUCCGGGGGUAGAGCACUGUUUCGGCUAGGGGGCCAUCCCGGCUUACCAACCCGAUGCAAACUGCGAAUACCGGAGAAUGUUAUCACGGGAGACACACGGCGGGUGCUAACGUCCGUCGUGAAGAGGGAAACAACCCAGACCGCCAGCUAAGGUCCCAAAGUCAUGGUUAAGUGGGAAACGAUGUGGGAAGGCCCAGACAGCCAGGAUGUUGGCUUAGAAGCAGCCAUCAUUUAAAGAAAGCGUAAUAGCUCACUGGUCGAGUCGGCCUGCGCGGAAGAUGUAACGGGGCUAAACCAUGCACCGAAGCUGCGGCAGCGACACUGUGUGUUGUUGGGUAGGGGAGCGUUCUGUAAGCCUGUGAAGGUGUGUCGUGAGGCAUGCUGGAGGUAUCAGAAGUGCGAAUGCUGACAUAAGUAACGAUAAAGCGGGUGAAAAGCCCGCUCGCCGGAAGACCAAGGGUUCCUGUCCAACGUUAAUCGGGGCAGGGUGAGUCGACCCCUAAGGCGAGGCCGAAAGGCGUAGUCGAUGGGAAACGGGUUAAUAUUCCCGUACUUGGUGUUACUGCGAAGGGGGGACGGAGAAGGCUAUGUUGGCCGGGCGACGGUUGUCCCGGUUUAAGCGUGUAGGCUGGUUUUCCAGGCAAAUCCGGAAAAUCAAGGCUGAGGCGUGAUGACGAGGCACUACGGUGCUGAAGCAACAAAUGCCC